This 258-nucleotide ribosomal RNA is filed under the name Streptomyces cinnamoneus. RNAcentral describes it as "partial 16S ribosomal RNA". It matches the Rfam family "Bacterial small subunit ribosomal RNA", at positions 1282 to 1533 of the family's 1533-position model. The record is from RNAcentral. Lineage: Bacteria; Bacillati; Actinomycetota; Actinomycetes; Kitasatosporales; Streptomycetaceae.
CCGGUCUCAGUUCGGAUUGGGGUCUGCAACUCGACCCCAUGAAGUUGGAGUUGCUAGUAAUCGCAGAUCAGCAUUGCUGCGGUGAAUACGUUCCCGGGCCUUGUACACACCGCCCGUCACGUCACGAAAGUCGGUAACACCCGAAGCCGGUGGCCCAACCCUUGUGGAGGGAGCCGUCGAAGGUGGGACUGGCGAUUGGGACGAAGUCGUAACAAGGUAGCCGUACCGGAAGGUGCGGCUGGAUCACCUCCUUUCUAA